RNAcentral lists this ribosomal RNA (253 nucleotides) under uncultured bacterium. RNAcentral describes it as "partial 16S ribosomal RNA". It matches the Rfam family "Bacterial small subunit ribosomal RNA", at positions 524 to 776 of the family's 1533-position model. The record is from RNAcentral.
UACGUAGGCAGCGAGCGUUGUUCGGGGUUACUGGGCGUAAAGGGUGUGUAGGCGGUUGUUUAAGUUUGGUGUGAAAUCUCCUGGCUUAACUGGGAGGGUGCGCCGAAAACUGGAGUGCUCGAGCGCGGGAGAGGGAUGCGGAAUUCCAGGUGUAGCGGUGAAAUGCGUAGAUAUCUGGAGGAACACCGGUGGCGAAGGCGGCAUCCUGGACCGGUAUUGACACUGAGGCGCGAAAGCCAGGGGAGCAAACGGG